Long non-coding RNA from Toxotes jaculatrix (banded archerfish), 208 nucleotides. RefSeq lists it as uncharacterized. The transcript is spliced from 2 exons. NCBI's taxonomy places the organism in Eukaryota, Metazoa, Chordata, Actinopteri, Toxotidae. The record is from RefSeq and is a predicted model, not a curated record.
GUGUGAAUCUUUUGAGUUAAAAAUGGGGAUUUCUACACAAUACCUUUUGCCAGAAAAGGUGUUUAUUUGUAAGCUCAAGGCUUGUGUGAAACUGCUAUGCUUCCCAGAAUCAUUUACUUUAUCCCUGUGGUGUCUCAUUUUGUCUGAGUAGGUGUUCAUUUUGACAAAUUUUGAUUCAGCUAUAAAGAGUUACUGGUCUUUUUGGUAA